Nomascus leucogenys (northern white-cheeked gibbon) is the source of this 3348-nucleotide long non-coding RNA. RefSeq lists it as uncharacterized. The record is from RefSeq and is a predicted model, not a curated record. Lineage: Eukaryota; Metazoa; Chordata; Mammalia; Primates; Hylobatidae. The transcript is spliced from 2 exons.
UGUGACUUUGCUGUUGGACUCCUGGGAGGAGCCAAGCACCACCAGCUUCACAGGCAGCUGCAGGUCCAGGACGUCAGCGGCGGUGCCUAACUUACUGAGAAUCAUGCCUGCUGUGAUGAUCCCUUGAAAAUCAUCAGGACUGGAUGGUAGGGGUCCUGAGAGGACUGGGGGAGGAGGCCCUGAUAUGACAGAGUGGACAGAGGCUGUGAAACCCAGGACGGCCAGCCUGCUCCAGAAUCCUCAUCCCCACAGACCUUCCUGUGUGGCUCCUAAAUAAGAGGAAACCCAUUCCUGAUAAGUCAGGGGCUUUGAAGAGUGAUUUUGUUUAAAUGGUGCAAACAAGCAAGCCAAUCUUGGGGAGACAGGGCUAAACUAAGUCCUUUAAGAAGCUGUACCUACUGACAAGAUUCUAGUUCCCUUCCACCUUACAUGCUGCAAAGUAAAAAGUAUCACUGAAUGAGAAAAUCAGCAUAAAGAAGCCCAAUAAUGUCUGCCUGAGUUUCCCCUAUGAUGACUUUUGGUACUUUUUGGGGAACAUUAAGUAUGAAGUUAUUUCAAAAUAAUUUUUUGGUGCCUCUGCUUGGUGAUGCCUUAAACUCUGGGUAAGAGAAACACCAGGUGCCUGUCAGGAGAUGGCCUCUUCCAGGUUUCUGGUUAAGCUACAAACAGCUAGCUGGCUGUUGUCAUCAAAAUAAAAGCUUUCUGAAGGUGGAGGCAUCUGAUACCCAGAGUGCUGCUAUCAGCCGGCCCGGUGGGCCACUGGGUGGCAGGAGCGUCGAGAAGGCCAGCUCGCUUCCUAUCUGGGAUUCAGAAUCAGCCAUGGAAACUUGAGAGACCUAGAGAAAAUAACUUCUUUCACUUUGAACUGAUUCUUUGCUUCAUAAGAAAAGUAUUAUCCAGCCACAAAAAUGGUCAAAAUUCAGAUCUACAAAAACCUGUGAGGCCAAAACUGACCCCACUUAGGCCACGCCAAUGAGCAAGUCAUCAAAGCAGCCAAGACAGGUCUUAUGGGGGCCACCCAUGCACAGGGCCCAGCCUCGGUUCCUAACCCCGCCUAUGCUUUACACCACCGUAAAGAGGUCCAUCUGGGUAAGACCUGUCCCGCCCGCCGUGGGGUAUUAGGGCAGAUGGGGUCUGACGGCUCUGAGAGCAGCUGGCAGCUCAAGGGCAUCCGGAGUUGGAGGAUGGAGCAAUGCAGGCCCCUGUGGUAAAGACAGUCCUGCAGCCGGGCAGGCAGGGAUGCUGCAAGUGGAGGGCCAGGUGGGUGCGGAGCCCUGUGGGACUGUGGAGGGGUCAGAGGGAAGCCAGGAUUUUGGGGUCUCUGAGAGUUUGGAGAAGGGGAAGAAAAUUAAAGCUUGGCUCAAAAGUUUCUAAUCAGGUGGGCAGGGCCAAGGGUGGCUGUGGGGUGAGACCCAUGACUCAGGGUGGCCCACUGUUACUCUCUUGAUUUUGCGGCAUUUUUUUCCAAAUUGAUUAUUCUUGCUGAAUGAGACCUGAGUCCUUGACUGUCCCCUUAAAGCCACCUGACUUGUUUUCAGUUCCACUGGCCUGUCGGGCUGUUUUCCACUCAACUCCACUCUUACUUGUCUGCCCUCCCUGCUUGGGGCCCAGCCAGCAGUCAGCUCAAGGGCCAGGUGAAUUGGGUGGCUGUGCUCUGCCCACUGGGCAUCGUGUGGAUGGUGGGUGACCAGCCCCCUCAGGUGCUCAGUCAGGCCUCAAGCCUCGCUGUGUACCUCAGAGCAGCUCAGUACCCUGAUGUCGCAGCAAAGAAACUUAGACAUGACACAAAUUGUGGCUUCCCAAGGCAGCAAAGAAUGGCCAGGGGUCAUGAGGGUCGUGUCCCGCUUUUGGACAGACCUAAAGUCACGCUACCUGCGUGCAAAUCAUAAAAUCAACACUUUUGAGGAGAUCACAGCUAUGCCUUAGUAACACAGCCCAGUCAGACCAGAUAGACGGUGGCUUGUGACCCCGAGAACAAGCCCCCGGCCCCCCACUGUGUGCCCCACCAUGUGUGUGAGCCUUACCUUGGACUGCACGCUGAGGGAGCGGAUGGAAGGGACAGCAAGGAGGCCGAAGCGCUCGUAGAGGUACUCGUUGGAGGAGCUUCCCUUCAGGAGAGCGAAAGGAAUGAGGUAGAGCUCCCCCUCCAGAACCAGGAUGAGCUGCCGGUGCCGGCCCACGGGGCCGCUGGAGUGCAUCAGGCCCUAUGGAGCAAGCACGGAGAGGCUGACAAGGGUGGCCCAGCAGGCAGGGGUUUCAGGCACCAGGACAACCCUGAGCCCUAGCCUGGAUGACACAAGCACAAGCAGGUGAGGCCUGUGGGUGUGUGGGGCGCCAUGGGCUGUGGGGCGCCAUGGGGCAUGGGCCGAGUUGCAGCCCUGCAGGAGCGGCACCAACUGGCAUGCUCGCUUGUGGACUGGCAAGGACUGGCCUGGCAGCAUCCAUCUGCCUCACAGUCCUGAGAAGGUUAGAGGACAGUUUCUUGAAGUUCACAAGAACCUGAAGUAGGUAGGAGACUGGUCUGUACUGCACAGGCACCCUGAGAAGGGGUGGGAAUGGCCCCUCUCAAAACAAGAUCUGUUUUCCAUUUCAGUGGACAAGAGGCUAGAAAAUCACAGUGAGGACGGGAGGUCUGGGGGCUGGCAUGACAGCCCCUGUAGAAGGGGACGGGCUGGGUUCUAGGACCUUUUGUGACCUCCUCUGAGAAAGAGUAGCCCCUUGGCUCUGGGCUUGGGAGGUGCUGUCCCCGCUUGUUCCCUCCGGGGAUGUCAGGGGACCCAAUGCAUGGAUGACUCCCAUCCCUCUUGAAAGGCCGGGCAUGAGGACUCGAGGCAGGGUGCGCACAGGGCCACAGCAGACACAGGCUCAUUCCCGUUCACUGCAGAACAACGCUAAGGCCACGGGCAUCUUAAUGAGAGCAGCAGGCAGCAAUCCUGGAAGCUGGGUCCACACAGACUGAGGUGAACAAAGAGGUGGCAUGGAAGCUGCUGCUGCAGCCCAGAGCCUGCCAAGAAGGUCCCAGGUCCACAGAGCCUGCGCAACACUGGGUGCCAGGGGUGGGGCUGGCCUGCCCCCCAACCCCAUCUGCUGAGGAGUGGCUGACAAGAGGACACCCACCAGGGUGCCACUCGCUUGUGCCUGGGGAAGCAAAUGUGCUCGCUUGACCCGUCUGAUGUGCUGCCGUGGGCACUUGACUGAGAGUGGCAGGGCACUAGGCUAACCCAAAGUGACACAUGCCUGGCGGGUCGUUCAGUCUCUGUAAACCCCUAUGGUUUUUUUUUUUUCUCUGUUUUAAAAAAAAUUUCUAGCUCCAUCUAGUGAAAGCAGAAAUAAAAAUUAUUAGGCCAA